Molecule: long non-coding RNA, 110 nt
Organism: Etheostoma spectabile (orangethroat darter)
Lineage: Eukaryota; Metazoa; Chordata; Actinopteri; Perciformes; Percidae
Exons: 3
Source: RefSeq, a predicted model, not a curated record
CAACCUGUUUUCACUCCGAACGCGUAAAAUACGGAUGUUUGGGCAGUGGCUGUCAGCGUCUGAUUCGACGAAAAAGGCACCCUUGGGUGUACUUCUGUAACGUACUGCGC